Molecule: ribosomal RNA, 433 nt
Filed under: uncultured bacterium
Lineage: Bacteria
Description: partial 16S ribosomal RNA
Rfam family: Bacterial small subunit ribosomal RNA
Source: RNAcentral
AACGAACGCUGGCGGCAUGCCUAACACAUGCAAGUCGAACGAAGCCUUCGGGCUUAGUGGCGCACGGGUGCGUAACGCGUGGGAAUCUGCCCCUUGCUUCGGAAUAACAGUUAGAAAUGACUGCUAAUACCGGAUGAAGUCUUCGGACCAAAGAUUUAUCGGCAAGGGAUGAGCCCGCGUAGGAUUAGGUAGUUGGUGGGGUAAAGGCCUACCAAGCCGACGAUCCUUAGCUGGUCUGAGAGGAUGAUCAGCCACACUGGGACUGAGACACGGCCCAGACUCCGCGGGGAGGAGGAGGGGGGAAAUAUUGAAAAGGGGAGGAAAGUUGAACACGUCAUGGCCGGGGGAGGAAGGAGGCCUUAGGGGUUGAAAACCUUUUUACCAAGGGAGAAAAAGAACAUUCCGUGAAAAAGAGCCCCGGCCAACCCCGGUC